This 1174-nucleotide ribosomal RNA is filed under the name metagenome. RNAcentral describes it as "bacterial SSU rRNA". It matches the Rfam family "Bacterial small subunit ribosomal RNA", at positions 8 to 1153 of the family's 1533-position model. The record is from RNAcentral.
AGAGUUUGAUCCUGGCUCAGGACGAACGCUGGCGGCGUGCUUAACACAUGCAAGUCGAACGAGACGAUUGAAAGCUUGCUUUUGAAAGUCGAGUGGCAAACGGGUGAGUAACGCGUAGACAACCUGCCGUAAAGAUGGGGACAACAGUCCGAAAGGACUGCUAAUACCGAAUGUUGUAAAUCUUCCGCAUGGAAGACUUACUAAAGGUGGCCUCUACUUGUAAGCUAUCGCUUUACGAUGGGUCUGCGUCUGAUUAGCUGGUUGGUGGGGUAACGGCCUACCAAGGCGACGAUCAGUAGCCGGUCUGAGAGGAUGAACGGCCACAUUGGAACUGAGACACGGUCCAGACUCCUACGGGAGGCAGCAGUGGGGAAUCUUCCGCAAUGGGCGCAAGCCUGACGGAGCAACGCCGCGUGAGUGAAGAAGGGUUUCGACUCGUAAAGCUCUGUUGUCGGGGACGAACGUGGAGACGGCAAAUAGUCGUUUCCAAUGACGGUACCUGACGAGGAAGCCACGGCUAACUACGUGCCAGCAGCCGCGGUAAUACGUAGGUGGCGAGCGUUGUCCGGAAUUAUUGGGCGUAAAGGGAGCGCAGGCGGGAAGGUAAGUCUAUCUUAAAAGUGCGGGGCUCAACCCCGUGAGGGGAUGGAAACUAUCUUUCUUGAGUGCAGGAGAGGAAAGCGGAAUUCCUAGUGUAGCGGUGAAAUGCGUAGAUAUUAGGAGGAACACCAGUGGCGAAGGCGGCUUUCUGGACUGUAACUGACGCUGAGGCUCGAAAGCGUGGGGAGCGAACAGGAUUAGAUACCCUGGUAGUCCACGCCGUAAACGAUGAAUGCUAGGUGUAGGAGGUAUCGACCCCUUCUGUGCCGGAGUUAACGCAAUAAGCAUUCCGCCUGGGGAGUACGGCCGCAAGGCUGAAACUCAAAGGAAUUGACGGGGGCCCGCACAAGCGGUGGAGUAUGUGGUUUAAUUCGACGCAACGCGAAGAACCUUACCAGGGCUUGACAUUGAGUGAAAGGACAAGAGAUAGUCCCCUCUCUUCGGAGACACGAAAACAGGUGGUGCAUGGCUGUCGUCAGCUCGUGUCGUGAGAUGUUGGGUUAAGUCCCGCAACGAGCGCAACCCUUAUCCUUUGUUGCCAGCACGUUAUGGUGGGAACUCAAAGGAGACUGCC